UUAAGCGACUAAGCGUACACGGUGGAUGCCCUGGCAGUCAGAGGCGAUGAAGGACGUGCUAAUCUGCGAAAAGCGUCGGUAAGGUGAUAUGAACCGUUACAGCCGGCGAUGUCCGAAUGGGGAAACCCAGUGCAAUUCGUUGCACUAUCGUUAACUGAAUACAUAGGUUAACGAGGCGAACCGGGGGAACUGAAACAUCUAAGUACCCCGAGGAAAAGAAAUCAACCGAGAUUCCCCCAGUAGCGGCGAGCGAACGGGGAGCAGCCCAGAGUCUGAAUCAGCUUGUGUGUUAGUGGAACGGUCUGGAAAGUCCGACGGUACAGGGUGAUAGUCCCGUACACCAAAAUGCACAGGCUGUGAACUCGAAGAGUAGGGCGGGACACGUGGUAUCCUGUCUGAAUAUGGGGGGACCAUCCUCCAAGGCUAAAUACUCCUGACUGACCGAUAGUGAACCAGUACCGUGAGGGAAAGGCGAAAAGAACCCCGGCGAGGGGAGUGAAAAAGAACCUGAAACCGUGUACGUACAAGCAGUGGGAGCACCUUCGGGUGUGACUGCGUACCUUUUGUAUAAUGGGUCAGCGACUUAUAUUCUGUAGCAAGGUUAACCGUAUAGGGGAGCCGCAGGGAAACCGAGUCUUAACUGGGCGUUAAGUUGCAGGGUAUAGACCCGAAACCCGGUGAUCUAGCCAUGGGCAGGUUGAAGGUUGGGUAACACUAACUGGAGGACCGAACCGACUAAUGUUGAAAAAUUAGCGGAUGACUUGUGGCUGGGGGUGAAAGGCCAAUCAAACCGGGAGAUAGCUGGUUCUCCCCGAAAGCUAUUUAGGUAGCGCCUCGUGAACUCAUCUUCGGGGGUAGAGCACUGUUUCGGCUAGGGGGUCAUCCCGACUUACCAACCCGAUGCAAACUACGAAUACCGAAGAAUGUUAUCACGGGAGACACACGGCGGGUGCUAACGUCCGUCGUGAAGAGGGAAACAACCCAGACCGCCAGCUAAGGUCCCAAAGUCAUGGUUAAGUGGGAAACGAUGUGGGAAGGCACAGACAGCCAGGAUGUUGGCUUAGAAGCAGCCAUCAUUUAAAGAAAGCGUAAUAGCUCACUGGUCGAGUCGGCCUGCGCGGAAGAUGUAACGGGGCUAAACCAUGCACCGAAGCUGCGGCAGCGACACUAUGUGUUGUUGGGUAGGGGAGCGUUCUGUAAGCCUGCGAAGGUGUGCUGUGAGGCAUGCUGGAGGUAUCAGAAGUGCGAAUGCUGACAUAAGUAACGAUAAAGCGGGUGAAAAGCCCGCUCGCCGGAAGACCAAGGGUUCCUGUCCAACGUUAAUCGGGGCAGGGUGAGUCGACCCCUAAGGCGAGGCCGAAAGGCGUAGUCGAUGGGAAACAGGUUAAUAUUCCUGUACUUGGUGUUACUGCGAAGGGGGGACGGAGAAGGCUAUGUUAGCCGGGCGACGGUUGUCCCGGUUUAAGCAUGUAGGCUGAUUGUCCAGGCAAAUCCGGAUAAUCAAGGCUGAGGUGUGAUGACGAGGCACUACGGUGCUGAAGUAACAAAUGCCCUGCUUCCAGGAAAAGCCUCUAAGCAUCAGGUAACAUCAAAUCGUACCCCAAACCGACACAGGUGGUCAGGUAGAGAAUACCAAGGCGCUUGAGAGAACUCGGGUGAAGGAACUAGGCAAAAUGGUGCCGUAACUUCGGGAGAAGGCACGCUGGUGUGUAGGUGAAGUCCCUGCGGAUGGAGCUGAGACCAGUCGAAGAUACCAGCUGGCUGCAACUGUUUAUUAAAAACACAGCACUGUGCAAACACGAAAGUGGACGUAUACGGUGUGACGCCUGCCCGGUGCCGGAAGGUUAAUUGAUGGGGUUAUCCGUAAGGAGAAGCUCUUGAUCGAAGCCCCGGUAAACGGCGGCCGUAACUAUAACGGUCCUAAGGUAGCGAAAUUCCUUGUCGGGUAAGUUCCGACCUGCACGAAUGGCGUAAUGAUGGCCAGGCUGUCUCCACCCGAGACUCAGUGAAAUUGAACUCGCUGUGAAGAUGCAGUGUACCCGCGGCAAGACGGAAAGACCCCGUGAACCUUUACUAUAGCUUGACACUGAACAUUGAGCCUUGAUGUGUAGGAUAGGUGGGAGGCUUUGAAGCGUGGACGCCAGUCUGCGUGGAGCCAACCUUGAAAUACCACCCUUUAAUGUUUGAUGUUCUAACGUUGGCCCCUUACCGGGGUUGCGGACAGUGUCUGGUGGGUAGUUUGACUGGGGCGGUCUCCUCCCAAAGCGUAACGGAGGAGCACGAAGGUUAGCUAAUCCUGGUCGGACAUCAGGAGGUUAGUGCAAUGGCAUAAGCUAGCUUGACUGCGAGCGUGACGGCGCGAGCAGGUGCGAAAGCAGGUCAUAGUGAUCCGGUGGUUCUGAAUGGAAGGGCCAUCGCUCAACGGAUAAAAGGUACUCCGGGGAUAACAGGCUGAUACCGCCCAAGAGUUCAUAUCGACGGCGGUGUUUGGCACCUCGAUGUCGGCUCAUCACAUCCUGGGGCUGAAGUAGGUCCCAAGGGUAUGGCUGUUCGCCAUUUAAAGUGGUACGCGAGCUGGGUUUAGAACGUCGUGAGACAGUUCGGUCCCUAUCUGCCGUGGGCGCUGGAGAAUUGAGGGGGGCUGCUCCUAGUACGAGAGGACCGGAGUGGACGCAUCACUGGUGUUCGGGUUGUCAUGCCAAUGGCACUGCCCGGUAGCUAAAUGCGGAAGAGAUAAGUGCUGAAAGCAUCUAAGCACGAAACUUGCCCCGAGAUGAGUUCUCCCUGAGACUUUAAGUCUCCUGAAGGAACGUUAAAGACGAUGACGUUGAUAGGCCGGGUGUGUAAGCGCAGCGAUGCGUUGAGCUAACCGGUACUAAUGAACCGUGAGGCUUAACCUU
This 2900-nucleotide ribosomal RNA is filed under the name Klebsiella pneumoniae. RNAcentral's name for it is "bacterial LSU rRNA". It matches the Rfam family "Bacterial large subunit ribosomal RNA". Lineage: Bacteria; Pseudomonadati; Pseudomonadota; Gammaproteobacteria; Enterobacterales; Enterobacteriaceae. The record is from RNAcentral.